RNAcentral lists this ribosomal RNA (270 nucleotides) under uncultured bacterium. RNAcentral's name for it is "partial 16S ribosomal RNA". It matches the Rfam family "Bacterial small subunit ribosomal RNA", at positions 88 to 354 of the family's 1533-position model. The record is from RNAcentral.
CCGGCGACCGGCGCACGGGUGAGUAACACGUAUGAAACCUGCCCGUAGCAGGGGGAUAACCGGGAGAAAUCCCGACUAAUACCGCGUAACGCCGCGGACCUGCAUGGGUCUGCGGCCAAAGGAAGCGAUUCCGGCAGGGGAUGGGCAUGCGGCGCAUUAGCUAGUCGGCGGGGUAACGGCCCACCGAGGCGACGAUGCGUAGGGGUUCUGAGAGGAAGGUCCCCCACACUGGUACUGAGACACGGACCAGACUCCUACGGGAGGCAGCAG